CUGUUUUUGAAUCUGGGUUAAAAUCAUAUCGGAUACCUUAUAAAAUUCACUGAUCAUUUAAAAAAAAAAAAAAAAAAAAAAAAAACCCCCCGAAAACAUACAAUUUUGUUAAUUUUCAAAUGCAUUCUUUUGAGGUCAAGCCAUAUUUACUUUUAUCCCAAAUAUUAAAUUUAAGUGUCAUAUGCAAAGUUGCAAAUUCGCCGACCGUAGGGCUAUCAAAACUGAUGAUGUUUAAAAAUUGACUAAUGGAACAAAUUUAUCUUGAGAUGAAAUGAUGUUGUUCAAAAUUAAUAUAAUUUUUUUUUGCUGUUUCCUCUUGCUUUAUACGCAUUUUCCUGCACCUCUCUUUCAGAAUACACAUUAUUCUUAUUUGGUAUUAAGAUUCACCAAUUGAUAAAAUAACACCUAAUUGUAUGCCACGGCUAUCUUGCUAUUAUUGUAAUUUCGCUUUAUAUUCGAUUUUGACGAAUGAACCCUGUCAAGUUGGAAAAUGCAAAAGCAGUAUUCUACCGUUACCUCUCAGUAGUAAAAUGACCUUCCAUCGAUGAAAUUCUCUAACAUUCUCUUCGUAUUUAAAAAUGUAUGGAUCGUAUAUUCCUUGCUUAUCCACGAUUCAUGAACAAUUAAGAUUUGCUGAAUGGGUAACACAUAUUCUGCGUUACCUCGUAUAGUUCAUUGUUAAUCAAUGUUUAAACACUAAAUUUCCCAUCUCCCACUGUUAAUUGAAAAUAGGUUUUAUUCAAUAAAUUACCAUUUAAAAAGACAUGUUAUUUUAAGUUAUAUAUUUUAUGAACCUAAAGAUUGAAGUAAAGGCCUUCGGAGCCUUUAGUUCCCCUACUAUGUGCCUCUACUCGCUUCUUGGGGCUUAACUGUAAUGUAGUAUUGCCAAUUACACAAAAAAUUUAUAUUGUUCUUUAGCUUCUUAUAAUUCAUUUAAAUGAGAGGUAAAAAAUUCGAGAAGACAUUUCAGAAAACUACAGAAGUAUCCAUUUGUUUGAAAUUAACUGUCCUAAUGCAGAUGAAUCCUAUGUAAUAGAAAUAUUACAACCGUGGCUAUAAAAGAAGUUGAGAGUUAGUUAUACGUAAGAAUAUCUUUUAAAGAUUUCAAUCGACAUCUCACAUGAUUCAUCAGUAUUAAACGUAAAAGUUUACAUAUUAGUUG
This is a non-coding RNA of Schizosaccharomyces pombe (fission yeast), 1162 nucleotides long. The record is from the annotation of a GenBank genome assembly. Lineage: Eukaryota; Fungi; Ascomycota; Schizosaccharomycetes; Schizosaccharomycetales; Schizosaccharomycetaceae.